AUUUUAUCUCAAUAGUAACCACCCUUUCAUUUCAAUUCUAGCCACUUCUAUUCCAAUUUUGGCCAACUGAUUCCAAUUUUCAGACUUCCAAUUCCAAUUAAUCUCAACCAUCCAUCCUUUAGUUAAAGCCUAAGAUCAAUCCUAACCCUUCAUUCGAAUCAAUCCAAAGGUCCAGAUUCGAUCUCAUCUCUCCUAUUUUAAUCAAAAUACCCUCAAACCCUAAAGUUUUUCAUUAUCUUCAUCUCCUCUCUCUAGCGCCGCACUCAACUCUCCUCUUCAUUUUUUCCAGCGACAAUCACCACCACUUGCUGGUGGCAGCCGCCUCUCUCUCUAUCUCUUUCUCUCCCUUCCCCUCUCAUCCCUUCUUCUCCGUCUCCUUUUUCUCCUCGUCUGACCAGCAACCGGCGAGGACCACCUGGUGAAUCUGCCAGCGAAUGGCGAAGCUCCAAGUAAUCAGCAACAGCAACUGACGAGGAGAGCAACAACAGCUCCGACCAACAACAACCAGCGCGAGAGCCAGCUCCGACUCCGACGAGCUACUGGCGAAACAACAGCGCACCAGUAGCAACGACAACAACGAUCCAGCGAGACCCUCGCAUCUCCAUUCCUCUCAUCUCCGGCGAAGUUCGAGUUCAAAGACGGAUCUCAACAAAUCCGUCCUAGUAAGUUUUAAUGUAAAAGUUUUUUUUAGCAUUUCAUUACAUCUCUGGCUAUUAUGAGAUGAAUAUUCUGAGAAUUUGAGCUUUUUAUGUUCUGUUUGAUCUCGUUUCAUCAUUGUUACAUAUUCGAUCCUUUGUUUUGUUUAAAUGAUGUUCCAAUAAUCCUCUACGCGUGGUGUGUUGCUAAUAGCAUGAUGCUAAGGAUUCAUUCCCUCUUAGAAUUCAAAUAGAAGCAUUUCUAUAUGUUCAGAUUAUUGAUUUGAGUUUUUAAAAUCCAUAAAGAUUGUUAGUAUUGUAUUAUGUCUCUUUGAUCUGUUUUUCUUGUGUAAUUUGGAAUAGCCUGUAUUAUGCAUAAUUAGGAAAUUUUGGUUAUCUCUAAAUCAAUUUAAAUCAUUUCAUUUGCUCUAAUUAAUGAAAUUUGGUACCCUCUUAUUCAUGGUAACUUUAUAUUCUUAUUUUGGAAUAAUAAUAUGGAUAGCUUCAUACUUAAUGAAUCUUAUGAUUGACUAAUUUAGUUGAACAUGCCUAUGGAAAUUAUGAGCAUGGAUAUUUGUCUGUAAUUGCACCUUCCUUAUUUAGUUAUGUCUAUUUACCGUUGUAAAUUAUGCUCUUUACUUGUUUUAUAUUUUAAUUGAUUUUGUUUACCUUAACUAAAAGUGGGUAAGUUUCCUUGCUUGCUUUUAUAUUUGGUACAAAAUAAUUUAAAAUAAAUCUAAUUUGGCUCUCCUUUGAAAUAAGGAAAAAUAAUAUUAACUGACUCCUUAAUUUAUUUUUUCCCUUAUUUGUGCCCUCCCCUUCACUAAAUAAAUAGACCCCUGCUCUCAUUCUUCAGACUCAGUCAUUGAUGUUUACAUACUCUAACAAGAGCAUAAAAUACUCCCCACUCUAAAGAUUUAAAAUUGGGUGAACAUUCUAAGAGCUUCUCUACUUGAUUUUGUUGUGUUCGGGUCUAGUAUCGAAAUAAGUUUAGUCUUCAUUGCUGUUAAAUCUUUCUGCUUUAACUGGUUAGUUGUUCUUCCAUUAGUUUAAUUUCAUCUUGCAUUAUUAUUUUGUGUAUGUUUGAAAUAAUAAAGGAAGCAUCCGGGUCAGUUCCUUUCUUCCCUCUUUAUGUGUGACAUCAUACAUGGUGUGGUUCUUUACUUGUUUAAAUUCUUGUAUGUAUGCCCAUGAUUUAGCUUGUGUAUUGAGGAAACCUGCAAAUAGUUAAUAUUAUCAUAUAUAUAUAUACUUGUUUGUAUCUUUUGUUAUCCGCGAGCAGGUUUGAACACAAAGUUCAAGAUAUGGAGAGUCGCCAUGGGAGGGAAACAAUAGACAAGCGGAUUUCAUUUAAUUUACGUCUGUGUAUUAUUUAAUCUUUAUUAUUUUUCUGUAAUAAUCUGUAAACUCGAACUCCAUGGAUUUAUAUGAAAUACUUGGGGAAUCGUCUAAGGGGGAGGGGAUUACGUGCUAACUGUUUCUUCUUUUUUAGGCCUUAUUUUAUUAUGUGAUUGUUAUAGAUGAUUUGUAUAUCACUAAAAAAAAAAACAUACAGGCAUAUAGAAAUAUAUCCUAAUAAUUGGCUUAAAAUCAACCUUUGUUUAUAACUUUAUCUGAUUGAUCAAUCUUGCAUGAAUACGUGUUAAAAUAUGCUAUGAAUCGUGAACUUGUAGAAUCUUGUCUCACAUGCUAAUAUUAUUAAAUUUUGGAAAUUGACUAAACUAUUAGACAUCAUGCCUAUAGGUUUUUCUGAAUCUUAUUAUAAUUUUCAGCCUGUUCUAUUUAGAAAUCAUGAUCAUAAGGUUUAUUUUUCACUCUGCAUAUUAUUCGGGGUUUAGAAAAUCAUGCCUAUAGGUUUCGGAAUAUUAUUAUAACUUUAUAUAGAAAUUAUGUCUAUAAGUUUAAUAAAUUUCAACAUGUUCACUUAGAAACCAUGUCUAUAGGAUCUAACUAAUAAGACUAGUGUUAAUAAGAUUAAAUAAAAUUUCUUGUUAAAAUCUUACUCUAAUAAUUUUCAGCAUGUUCAAAAACUGAAAUAAAUUUGCUACAUAUUUUUUGUAAAUCAAAAUAAAUAUUAACUAUUUCUAGCAUGAAAAAAAAUUAACUUACAGAACUACUUUUUGCACUAUUAAUGCUGAAAUAUUUCCUGCAUGUUUAAGAGAAAUCAGUACAACAAUAUUUUGAUUAAAACCUGAGCUGUUUUAAAUUAACAGUUGUGAAUAAAUUCAGACCACUUAGAAAUCAUGCCUAUAGGUUGUAGACUUGAUUUUACUUAUUUAUAGUAUCAUGCCUAUAGGUGCUAUGCAAUAUUUUUCAAACACCUAGAGAUCAUGUUCAAGGUAUUAUUAAUUAAUCUCCAGCAUGCUAAUCACUGAAAUAAUAAUUUACUUCUGCCACUGUUUUCCAGCAUGUUAAAUAACCCAAAUUCUGUUAUGACUUUUCCGUCAUUAUCAAAGUACUGUGACAUUAUUAUAAUCUGCUACUAAAUAAAGCUAAUAAAUCAGCUCUUGCACGUUUUAAUUUUAAAAUCUGCCCUUGCAAAAUCAUGCCCGAAAUUAAUUAUUUUCCGCAUUCGAAUUGCCACUUAAAUUAAUUUCUGCACUAAUAAUACCAUAUGCUACUGUUCUAAAAAAUAUAUAUUUUCUGCAUUUGUUACUCGCUUGUCCUAAUUAAAAAUUAGCUACUGUCUUUCUACAUUUUAACAAAUUGACUGCCAUAUUAAAUUAAUCUUUGCAAUAAUAAUUAAAUUUGUUGUUGUUUUAAAAUAUUUUUGCAUGUGUGACCACUUUUCUGCUAUAUUUUAAAAUCAAUAAAUAAAAUAGGCUAUGUCAUAAAUUUCUGUCCUUUUAAAAUCAGUUGAUAAAUAAAAUCUGUUUUUCUGUAAUAAUUUUUGCCAAUCUCAAUUAAAUAAUUUCAUUGUUGUAAUGCUUGUGUAUACGCCACACACUUAGCAUGCGACCUUUUCACCUUACUUGUGUUUGCUAGCAUGUUAAUAAACUAAUCUAGAGGCCAACAUGAGAUUUACGUGCUAAAAUGCUCGUCUUAUUUGUUUGACUUGGUGUCUAGGUGGGCCUAAUUAGGAGCCUCUAUUUUUAUUUUAGUCUAAAACCUUCAUGUUAGCCGUCCAAUGCCUCUUGGACCUUAAGUGGGUACGGUAGGCACCUUUUAGAGACGAAAAUCAUGCGAUGGUGGGCUAGGGAUAGUCUAGGCCCUACGGAGAUGAUGACAUUGCCUCGAGCCGUAAAUGAUAAACAUUUGUUUUGUCUAUCUCCAUAUAGAAGUCGAGCGCUGAUCCGUAAAAUCCUUCAGAGUCUCCCUUUCCUUUUGUCUCUUUGUUUGUUUAUAAUUAUAAUUGUUUGGGGUAGCUUAAAUAAAAUAUAAAAAUUGUUUGCUUA
Molecule: long non-coding RNA, 4030 nt
Filed under: Solanum tuberosum (potato)
Lineage: Eukaryota; Viridiplantae; Streptophyta; Magnoliopsida; Solanales; Solanaceae
Description: long non-coding RNA (STUB_LNC003520)
Source: RNAcentral